RNAcentral lists this ribosomal RNA (253 nucleotides) under uncultured bacterium. RNAcentral describes it as "partial 16S ribosomal RNA". It matches the Rfam family "Bacterial small subunit ribosomal RNA", at positions 524 to 776 of the family's 1533-position model. The record is from RNAcentral.
UACAGGGGGUGCAAACGUUGCUCGGAAUCAUUGGGCGUAAAGCGCACGUAGGCGGUUCGUUAUGUCGGAUGUGAAAGCCCUUGGCUUAACCGAGGAAGUGCAUCCGAAACUGGCGAGCUAGAGUACUAAAGAGGAUCGCGGAAUUCCCGGUGUAGAGGUGAAAUUCGUAGAUAUCGGGAGGAACACCGGUGGCGAAGGCGGCGAUCUGGGUAGAUACUGACGCUGAGGUGCGAAAGCGUGGGGAGCAAUCAGG